UACGGAGGGGGCUAGCGUUAUUCGGAAUUAUUGGGCGUAAAGGGCGCGUAGGCGGCCAGGUAAGUCAAAGGUGAAAUCCCUCGGCUCAACCGAGGAACUGCCUUUGAAACUACCUGGCUCGAGGCCGGGAGGGGGUAGCGGAAUUCCCAGUGUAGCGGUGAAAUGCGUAGAUAUUGGGAGGAACACCGGUGGCGAAGGCGGCUACCUGGACCGGUUCUGACGCUGAGAUACGAGAGCGUGGGGAGCGAAUGGG
RNAcentral lists this unclassified non-coding RNA (253 nucleotides) under uncultured Acidobacteriota bacterium. Its description in RNAcentral is "uncultured Acidobacteria bacterium contains 16S-23S intergenic spacer region". It matches the Rfam family "Bacterial small subunit ribosomal RNA", at positions 524 to 776 of the family's 1533-position model. Lineage: Bacteria; Pseudomonadati; Acidobacteriota. The record is from RNAcentral.